GCUUCGGCGGGCCCGCCUCACGGCCGCCGGGGGGCAUCCGCCCCCGGGCCCGCGCCCGCCGAAGACACCUGUGAACUCUGUCUGAAGUUGCAGUCUGAGAAACUAUUUAAAUUAGUUAAAACUUUCAACAACGGAUCUCUUGGUUCCGGCAUCGAUGAAGAACGCAGCGAAAUGCGAUAAAUAAUGUGAAUUGCAGAAUUCAGUGAAUCAUCGAGUCUUUGAACGCACAUUGCGCCCUCUGGUAUUCCGGAGGGCAUGCCUGUCCGAGCGUCAUUGCUGCCCUCAAGCACGGCUUGUGUGUUGGGCCCCGUCCCCCCCCUCCCGGGGGGACGGGCCCGAAAGGCAGCGGCGGCACCGCGUCCGGUCCUCGAGCGUAUGGGGCUUUGUCACCCGCUCUUGUAGGCCCGGCCGGCGCUUGCCGACCCCCUCAAUCUAUUUUUCAGGUUGACCUCGGAUCAGGUAGGGAUACCCGCUGAACUUAAGCAUAUCAAUAAGCGGAGGAAAAGAAACCAACCGGGAUUACCCUAGUAACGGCGAGUGAAGCGGUAAGAGCUCAAAUUUGAAAGCUGGCCCCUUCGGGGUCCGCAUUGUAAUUUGCAGAGGAUGCUUCGGGAGCGGUCCCCAUCUAAGUGCCCUGGAACGGGCCGUCAUAGAGGGUGAGAAUCCCGUAUGGGAUGGGGUGCCCGCGCCCGUGUGAAGCUCCUUCGACGAGUCGAGUUGUUUGGGAAUGCAGCUCUAAUUGGGUGGUAAAUUUCAUCUAAAGCUAAAUAUUGGCCGGAGACCGAUAGCGCACAAGUAGAGUGAUCGAAAGAUGAAAAGCACUUUGAAAAGAGAGUUAAAAAGCACGUGAAAUUGUUGAAAGGGAAGCGCUUGCGAUCAGACUCGCUCGCGGGGUUCAGCCGGCCUUCGGGCCGGUGUACUUCCCCGCGGGCGGGCCAGCGUCGGUUUGGGCGGCCGGUCAAAGGCCCCUGGAA
This 974-nucleotide ribosomal RNA is filed under the name fungal sp. RNAcentral's name for it is "eukaryotic LSU rRNA". The stretch from base 446 to 974 matches the Rfam family "Eukaryotic large subunit ribosomal RNA", at positions 1 to 534 of the family's 3401-position model. The record is from RNAcentral. Lineage: Eukaryota; Fungi.